GCCACGUUCGUCUAGCGGCCUAGGACGUCGCCCUCUCACGGCGGUAACACCGGUUCAAAUCCGGUACGGGGUA
RNAcentral lists this transfer RNA (73 nucleotides) under Brachybacterium paraconglomeratum. RNAcentral's name for it is "tRNA-Glu". It matches the Rfam family "tRNA". From Rfam's summary of the family: Transfer RNA (tRNA) molecules are approximately 80 nucleotides in length. Lineage: Bacteria; Bacillati; Actinomycetota; Actinomycetes; Micrococcales; Dermabacteraceae. The record is from RNAcentral.